UAAAUAUAUAAAUAACAAAGAGGUUAAAUCCUUUUUGCAUCAUUUAGGGAAGGAGAAUGGUCUAACCCCCAUCAGGUCCCUAUCAUCCGCUCCCGGUGUUCACAUUCUUAACGUGCACCCAUUUCCCUCUAACAAUCCCUUUAUCGGAUUCGAAGACCACAAACACGCCUAGCGUACUUUAGCAAAAGGCAGAUAGUUACAAACACCGAAUUCGGGUCGAGUUAAAGAAAACUUAAGCUAUCAAGGGAACGAGCGGCUCCGUUUCACUCGCUCGGAUUGUUUCCUCGCGGAGAUCCGCCACAAACGAUAGAGCAUUCGACACCGCAUAUCGCACCGAAGCAUGAAAAUACCACAUCGCUAUCGCUGUCGCUGUCACUCGUAUUAUGCUUCAUUAAGCCUCUGCUACCACUGCGCAAAGUGGAUAAACCACUACGAUCGUAUGUAACUGGGAGAUCCGUUCGCCAUCUUUCCAAUUUCGAUUGGAGGCCUUCCAUGCUGCUUUCCAAGCCCCAAGAAGUCAUUAUAUCGCCCUCCGUCUCUUCUACCACGUAGUGAUUUUUUUUCCUUGUUAUCAUUGCUGCUGCCACCUCUGAUGCUGAUGGGCCCAGAUCUGAUUCGGUUAUAAACGGCGCCCCACCGUUUAAAUUCAUGUUUUUUGGAGUGCCAAAAUGCAAUUUCCCAAGGUCGAACUUCUUAAAUGUCGAGGAAGAAUUAUCGUCAAUUAAACUGGAAUGGAUUUUGUUUUUCACCUUAGUGAUAUUGCCGCCGGAGACGUUGGACCUGUAUUUAGCCUUUGUCAAUGUGCCAUAGACCGACCCACUAGAAGUUGAAUGGGGCUUGCCCUUGUUAUAAUUCUUGAAAAUCUCGGAAUCAGUGAUGACGGAGCUAGGAUUUGAAUUCUGUUUCUCAUAAGCUGAGCCAUUCACCAUUGAACCGGCCUUCUUUUUAUUUAACGUUUUCUUAGCAACCGCAUCAGAGCCGAUCAUUGAACAGGUGUCGCUCUUUGUACGUCUCAAUUCAGGCUUGGGAUUCCAUGGAAGUAAGAAUUGGUUCCGACUAUCGCUGUUUUUCUCAUCGUCUUGGGUCCUAUGAUUGUCAUUAUGCAUCUGAGGAUCCUUCUCCCCCAUCAAAUGGCGGUAACCAAUAGCAGAAGCAUUCUGGGUAUACAAUGGCAUGCUUCGCAUGGAGGUGUCAAGAAGGGCCACCCCAAUGUUGAGAAUACCCUGAGGACAUCCAGAGCGACGACGUACCUGAAGGGCAACAAAGCGCAUGCCGAGCUGAACGUGGUGCUGCCGGUGCUGACGGUGGAGUUGGGGAGGGGGAAUGAGGUUUCCAACAAUGACGCGGAUGGUGCCAACGUGAAUGUCGCGGAACCAAUGGAGGGCGUAGAUCUCAAUCAUAAUGGCGGAGGUCUGACCAUAGAGAAACUCGUCGUCAACGCGAAAGACAAACUUGUCGUUCCAUGUAGGAUUGUUGUGGCCUUGAAUAUCAACUCUGGUGGAAAGUUUGCGGUCAGGGUGAACCCAGGCAACCACGUAGGUUUUCAUCUUGCGUGAGACCUUGGCGAGGUCUUGGGCAGAUAUCACAUUUAGCUCCAACAAUUGAAAUGGCGGAGCAAAUCCACGGGACAUUUUAUUUCUUUUCAAUUUCUUUUACAACACAGGUUGAUAUUGCUGCUUCUGGUGGUGGAGGAAGAGGUCAUCAUGGGUUCCACUCACCGUCCAAGGAGAGGACGACGAGGGAAGAAAAAUCCUUAAUAUUAGGUUUUGUUUGUAUAGUGUGUGUGUGUGUGUGUGUUUGUAAGUUGCUGGUCUUGACUUUAUGUGAUGGAGAAUGUACCUGUUUUUCCAAACUCUUUUUCUCUUAGGUUGAAGGAACUCCAGAGAGGCCAAGGUUGUGCGUAUUCCGAUCCAACAAGCAUCUUUAUGUCCAGGUGAUUGAUGACUCAAAGAUGCACACGCUGGCUUCAGCUUCAACAAUGCAGAAACCUGUCUUUGAGGAGUUUGACUUUAGUUCUGGUCCUACCAUUGUAAGUUUGUAAAUAUAAGUUAACAAUCACCUUAGAAAAUUUUGUUGCUAGCUGAGACUACCUAAUCCAUGAUUGCAACAAUAUAGUUAAUGAUUAUGUUAACCAAAUAAUAGAGAGUUUAAGCAUAGCCACUCAGGAUCCAUGGUUGAGCUCAGAUUGAGCUCAAUUGAAGCUUGAGAUGGUUGGCUCAAGCUUUGUGUAUUACACAAUUUAGGGUGCUCAAACUUGGUCAAAUGGGCUAGAAUGGUUAGAAAUGCUUAUCAUUUUGGCACAUUUCACCAUAUUUUAUUGGUGUUGCUCACCGAAUCUAUGGUUUUUCCUCUUUCCCUGAAUAAAUUUCAUGUCAUUCAGUAUGAUGUUUGAAAAUAUUGUGCUCUUAUUGCAAACAUUAUUCACCAGGAAGUAGCUAAGAAGGUGGGUGAAGUCAUAGCAAAGUCCUGUUUAGAGAAAGGGAUAACUAAAGUGGCCUUUGAUCGGGGUGGAUACCUAUAUCAUGGUCGUAUACAAGCUCUUGCUGAUGCAGCUCGGGAGCAUGGUCUUCAAUUUUAAGAUUUAAUUGGUUAGUUACUUUUGAGCUCACAUUUCCUUUUGAGCUAACUUUGUGCCGGAAGGCAUUAAUGCGUGGCUGAGACUAUUUGUAGCUGUGUGAAAAUCACAAAAUGGAAAGGCUUUUUGUUCUCUCUGUGAAUUCCUUCUGUUUGAAUUUGAUAAAUAUUCAAAAUGGACUUUUUAAAUUUGCACCACAAAUCUUCUAUCUCCCAAGGUUGAGGUUGGAAUGCAUAAGCCUUAGUUGCUUUGCAUGACAGCUUAGUAUGUAUGGAACUUGAUUUCAUUGGAAGAAAAGGUUGUUGGUGGGUAGGGUGGGGUAAGUGAUAAAAAUUAGCACAAUCAAACAUAAGAUUGGCAUGGAAGCAAAUCAUUCUAUGAAAUGAUCUUGAAAGGAGAAGAAAGAGAGAGGGUUGAUCCAUAUUUCAUCAAAAUAAUUGAAUUACUGUAUUAGAUAGGGGAAAAGUAUGCCUUGUAGUUUCCCCUUCAACUAAGAACACAUAGAGUUGAGUUGGAAUUCA
Molecule: unclassified non-coding RNA, 3096 nt
Filed under: Hevea brasiliensis (rubber tree)
Lineage: Eukaryota; Viridiplantae; Streptophyta; Magnoliopsida; Malpighiales; Euphorbiaceae
Source: RNAcentral